RNAcentral lists this ribosomal RNA (400 nucleotides) under uncultured bacterium. Its description in RNAcentral is "bacterial SSU rRNA". It matches the Rfam family "Bacterial small subunit ribosomal RNA", at positions 30 to 433 of the family's 1533-position model. The record is from RNAcentral.
AUUGAACGCUGGCGGCAUGCCUUACACAUGCAAGUCGAACGGCAGCGCGGGGCAACCUGGCGGCGAGUGGCGAACGGGUGAGUAAUAUAUCGGAACAUACCCUAGAGUGGGGGAUAACGUAGCGAAAGUUACGCUAAUACCGCAUACGCACUAAGGUGGAAAGUGGGGGAGUCUUCGGACCUCAUGCUCAUGGAGUGGCCGAUAUCUGAUUAGCUAGUUGGUGAGGUAAAGGCUCACCAAGGCGACGAUCAGUAGCUGGUUUGAGAGAACGACCAGCCACACUGGAACUGAGACACGGUCCAGACUCCUACGGGAGGCAGCAGUGGGGAAUUUUGGACAAUGGGGGCAACCCUGAUCCAGCAAUGCCGCGUGAGUGAAGAAGGCCUGGUUGUAAAGGUAC